UCUGAGAAUGCUUCUGUCUAGAGUUUAUCUAAAGACAUUCCCGUUUCCCAAGAAAUACUCAAAGCUAUGCAAAUAUCCUCUUGCAGAUUCUACAAAAAGAGGGUUUCAAAACUGCUCUUUGCAAAGAAAGGUUCAACUCUGUCAGUAGAGGGCACACAUCACAAACAAGUUUCUGAGAAUGCUUCUGUCUAGUUUUUAUGGGAAGAUAU
Molecule: long non-coding RNA, 209 nt
Filed under: Homo sapiens (human)
Lineage: Eukaryota; Metazoa; Chordata; Mammalia; Primates; Hominidae
Description: HSALNT0400587
Source: RNAcentral